GAAAACUUAAAAGAAAAAUAAGGAGCUCUAAUUAUUUUGGGGUAAUUUUUCUUACAUCUUCCAAAGCUCAGGUAUCAUGUAUGCCUCCAAAAUAAAGAGCCUUAAAUACUAGAAGAGAAACAUUCAUUUCCAACAAGAUUAAGUGAAUAAUUAAAAUUAUAGUCAUAUUAUUUUUGCAUUUUA
Non-coding RNA from Eucalyptus grandis, 183 nucleotides. Lineage: Eukaryota; Viridiplantae; Streptophyta; Magnoliopsida; Myrtales; Myrtaceae. The record is from Rfam.